CCUACGGGUGGCAGCAGUGGGGAAUAUUGGACAAUGGGGGGAACCCUGAUCCAGCCAUGCCGCGUGUGUGAAGAAGGCCCUCGGGUUGUAAGGCACUUUCAGUGAGGAAGAACGCCUGGUGGUUAAUACCCAUCAGGAAAGACAUCACUCACAGAAGAAGCACCGGCUAACUCCGUGCCAGCAGCCGCGGUAAUACGGAGGGUGCGAGCGUUAAUCGGAAUUACUGGGCGUAAAGCGCGCGUAGGUGGCUUGAUAAGCCGGUUGUGAAAGCCCCGGGCUCAACCUGGGAACGGCAUCCGGAACUGUCAAGCUAGAGUGCAGGAGAGGAAGGUAGAAUUCCCGGUGUAGCGGUGAAAUGCGUAGAGAUCGGGAGGAAUACCAGUGGCGAAGGCGGCCUUCUGGACUGACACUGACACUGAGGUGCGAAAGCGUGGGUAGCAAACAGGAUUAGAUACCCUGGUAGUC
RNAcentral lists this ribosomal RNA (465 nucleotides) under Vreelandella stevensii. RNAcentral's name for it is "partial 16S ribosomal RNA". It matches the Rfam family "Bacterial small subunit ribosomal RNA", at positions 338 to 795 of the family's 1533-position model. Lineage: Bacteria; Pseudomonadati; Pseudomonadota; Gammaproteobacteria; Oceanospirillales; Halomonadaceae. The record is from RNAcentral.